GACGAACGCUGGCGGCGUGCCUAAUACAUGCAAGUCGAACGCUGAAGGAGGAGCUUGCUUCUCUGGAUGAGUUGCGAACGGGUGAGUAACGCGUAGGUAACCUGCCUGGUAGCGGGGGAUAACUAUUGGAAACGAUAGCUAAUACCGCAUAAGAGUAGAUGUCGCAUGACAUUUGCUUAAAAGUUGCAAUUGCAUCACUACCAGAUGGACCUGCGUUGUAUUAGCUAGUUGGUGAGGUAACGGCUCACCAAGGCAACGAUACAGAGCCGGCCUGAGAGGGUGAUCGGCCCAACUGGGAACGGGACACGGCCCAAGAUCCUACCGGAGGGCGCAGGAGGGGAUCUUCGGAAAUGGACGGAAGUCUGACCGAGCAACGCCGGGUGAGUGAAGAAGGUUUUCGGGUCGUAAAGCUCUGUUGUAAGGGAAGGAAGAGUGUGAGAGUGGAAAGUUCACGCUGUGACGGUAUCUAACCAGAAAGGGACGGCUAACUACGUG
This 495-nucleotide ribosomal RNA is filed under the name uncultured bacterium. RNAcentral describes it as "partial 16S ribosomal RNA". It matches the Rfam family "Bacterial small subunit ribosomal RNA", at positions 28 to 507 of the family's 1533-position model. The record is from RNAcentral.